This 91-nucleotide transfer RNA is filed under the name Caulobacter rhizosphaerae. RNAcentral describes it as "tRNA-Ala". Lineage: Bacteria; Pseudomonadati; Pseudomonadota; Alphaproteobacteria; Caulobacterales; Caulobacteraceae. The record is from RNAcentral.
GGGACUGCAGGCGCUCGGCCGGCGCCGAGAUCCAGCGGAUCACGGUGACAGGCUUGGCGCGGUAGGCGGCGUCCAGGUCGUCGCAGACCUG